This is a long non-coding RNA of Lycium barbarum (goji berry), 493 nucleotides long. RefSeq lists it as uncharacterized. Lineage: Eukaryota; Viridiplantae; Streptophyta; Magnoliopsida; Solanales; Solanaceae. The transcript has 3 exons. The record is from RefSeq and is a predicted model, not a curated record.
UUGAGAGCACCACAAGAAAGGGCAUUCGGCUACAAGAGAGAAAAAAAAAUAUUUUGGAGCUCAAAUCUUUAGUCCAAAAAUUCAUCCCUUGUUGAAUUAAUACUAAGCUCAAGGUCCUCUUCAAUGUGAUACAAAUUUGGAAGCAAAAGAGUACUUUUUUUACAAAGUGAAGAAUUUGGAAAAGAUAUUGGAGAGCCCGAGACUUGAGUCGGGAUUUGUUUGGCAAGUGAUCGAGAUUUGGUAGUGAGCGAUCGAGGUACGGACGUUCGUUUUGGUGAUCCUCCAGUAUAGGAUACAUAUUCUGCCACUUGGACCACUCCUUUUGAUUCAGAGCUCAUAUUUUUGGUACAUAUCUUCUGUUAUAUAUAUUCUUUAUAUAUUUGACUAUUUGGGUACGGCGGGGCCCUGACCCGUCAUAUGUUCUGUUAUGUUUUGUAGAGGCCUGUAGUCAUAUGUGUGGGUCAUGGGUCAUGUUUGUUCGUUUGUGAUUAUG